UGCGUAGGCCACUAAGCGUGUCAGGUGUGAAAUCUCGGGGCUUAACCUCGAAACUGCGCCUGAAACUGUUUAGCUUGAGUAUUGGAGAGGUAAGCGGAAUUUCUGGUGUAGCGGUGAAAUGCGUAGAUAUCAGAAGGAACACCAAUGGCGAAGGCAGCUUACUGGACAAUAACUGACGCUGAGGCACGAAAGCGUGGGUAGCGAAAG
This 207-nucleotide ribosomal RNA is filed under the name uncultured bacterium. Its description in RNAcentral is "partial 16S ribosomal RNA". It matches the Rfam family "Bacterial small subunit ribosomal RNA", at positions 568 to 774 of the family's 1533-position model. The record is from RNAcentral.